GCUGGGUGUGGUGGAGCAUGCCUGUAAUCCCAGAGGCUUGGGAAGCUGAGGCAGGAUCAGGAGUUCAAAGCCAGCCUCAG
RNAcentral lists this small RNA (80 nucleotides) under Marmota monax (woodchuck). The record is from RNAcentral. Lineage: Eukaryota; Metazoa; Chordata; Mammalia; Rodentia; Sciuridae.